AACGCCGCCGACGCCGUCACCGCCUUCGCCUUCGCCAUCGCCUUUGCCUUUGCCUUUAUCGCCUCUCCAGCUGUAGAAGCAUAUCCUGUCGCCAUGCCCAAGGAGGAUCCGUUCGUGAAUCGCGCUCAGCUGCUGAAGGCCAUCAAGAAGUAUCCAGAAAUUUGGGACUCCAACAACAAGCUCCACUUGUGCCGCAGCGUCACAUCGCCCAUGUGGAACGAGAUCGCCGAACAGUUUGGCGGUCAUGUGCCUACAGUCAAACUGCAGUCGAUUUGGAGUCAAAUGAAGUAUCACUACCACAAUCUGGUGCAUCGCCAGAUCCUGCACAAGGAGCGCUUUAACACCAAGUGGGAGCACUUCGAGCCCAUGUCUUUUAUGUACAACAUAACGGUGGCUAAGAUUGUGGGCGCUCAGGCCAACUCGAGCAACUCUGAGGCGAGCUCACCCAACGAGGCCGCUCACCAGGUGGGCGGCUCCCCGCCCGUACUGCCACCGCCCCCCUUGCCGAGUGCUACGCAUGGACGCGGGCGUCCCAGCGGCAGCUUCAGCUGGCUGCAGCCCACAGUCGCAGCGCCGCCAGCAAUUGCACCACAACCCGCUGCCCCCCCAGCUGGCAUCUCCGCCUCGCCGGAGCUGCCUCAUCUCAUUGAGCAGCCGGCAGCGCAUGGCAUGACCUACACCGCCUUCACAGGACUUGUGCCGCCGGCUGCUGUCACCGUGGAGGCAACGACCACGCCCAUGCGCAAACUGGGCCGGCCCAGUUCGUUGCACAACAGCAUGCGCGGCCGCAUCAUCGAUGCCAUUAAGGCGCGCCCUUCCCUGUGGGCGGGGCGCCAGCGCAGCGAAAAGGGACAGGGCCAGAGCCGCACCUCCGCCGUCUGGAAGGAGGCGGCCAACGAGAUGGGUCUAACACCAACACUCAUGCAGACGCGCUGGUCGAUCAUCAAGCAGCGCUACGUGGACGAGCUGCAGAAGGAGCGGCACGCCCAGUAUGCGCAGCAGGGCUUCCGGUCGAAUUGGGAGCACUUCGAGCGCAUGUCCUUUAUGCGGGAGAUGCUGCUCCGGAAGGUGGACGAGCGGGAGCAGACGCGCGAGCACAUUCAGGAGAUGGUCAGCGAGCAGCAGCAGCACCAGCACCAGCAACAACAACAACAACAGCAGCAGCAGCCCCACUCCCUGGCCAUUGGCCACGUCCAGCCGCAGGCGCAUCCCCUGCAGCUCUACCGGCCGCCCGGGCUGGCCGAGCACUCGCAGGACUUGCCCAUCGGUCAGGUGCAGCAGCAACUGGCGCAGCAUGGCGCCCAUCUAAUGCAUUCGCAGCAUCUGCUUCAUCAUCAUCACAACAACAAUCAUCUUCAUCUACAUCACCAGGCGCCCGGGGCGGGACGACGACGUGUCAAGCACGAAUCGGAUCUGGAGUGGGAUCCCUUCGAGAUGAUUCUCCAUGUGCAGGGCAAUGGUGAACCGGCGGCCAACUAAAGCAAGACUGAGAGCAGCAGCAGUAGUAACACAGAGACAGAGAGAGUGGGAAAUAGCGAAUGUAAAACUAACAGCAUUACAAUCCAAUUUGUAUUUCCAAUUUUUCACUUUUCAAUCAAAUAAAAACAUCACAUGAAACAAAAGGGGGAGAGAGAGAGAAGGAUGUUCCAUGUGUGAAGAAAUGUAUGUAUGUGU
This 1674-nucleotide unclassified non-coding RNA is filed under the name Drosophila mojavensis. Its description in RNAcentral is "GI13702". Lineage: Eukaryota; Metazoa; Arthropoda; Insecta; Diptera; Drosophilidae. The record is from RNAcentral.